UACGGAGGAUGCAAGCGUUAUCCGGAAUGAUUGGGCGUAAAGCGUCCGCAGGUGGCUAUGUAAGUCUGCUGUUAAAGAGUGAGGCUCAACCUCAUAAAAGCAGUGGAAACUACAUGGCUAGAGUGCGUUCGGGGCAGAGGGAAUUCCUGGUGUAGCGGUGAAAUGCGUAGAGAUCAGGAAGAACACCGGUGGCGAAAGCGGCAUCCUGGACCAACACUGACGCUGAGUGAGCGAAAGCCAGGGGAGCAAGCGGG
This 254-nucleotide ribosomal RNA is filed under the name uncultured bacterium. RNAcentral describes it as "partial 16S ribosomal RNA". It matches the Rfam family "Bacterial small subunit ribosomal RNA", at positions 524 to 776 of the family's 1533-position model. The record is from RNAcentral.